RNAcentral lists this ribosomal RNA (253 nucleotides) under uncultured bacterium. RNAcentral's name for it is "partial 16S ribosomal RNA". It matches the Rfam family "Bacterial small subunit ribosomal RNA", at positions 524 to 776 of the family's 1533-position model. The record is from RNAcentral.
UACGUAGGGUGCGAGCGUUAUCCGGAAUUAUUGGGCGUAAAGCGCACGUAGGCGGCUUUGUAAGUUAGAGGUGAAAGCCCAGGGCUUAACCCUGGAAUUGCCUUUAAGACUGCAUCGCUAGAAUCGUGGAGAGGUGAGUGGAAUUCCGAGUGUAGAGGUGAAAUUCGUAGAUAUUCGGAAGAACACCAGUGGCGAAGGCGACUCACUGGACACGUAUUGACGCUGAGGUGCGAAAGCGUGGGGAGCAAACAGG